UGGAGCAAGAGUGCGACUGACGGUAGCAGUCCUUCAGGACAGCAGCUGAGGAAGCUCCCAACUACAUGCCGGUACCGGUCCUGUGCGAACAGGGAGGUGAGAGCCUCGCUCUGGAAACAGAAACGACACCUCCAAUUCACGUUUGACUGUGAUACGGACUCGAAUCCGUUGAGAAGUGAUUUGGCCAGGUUGAAACGGUCCAUCACCGGGUUAGCAAUCUCAAGAAUACGCCUACGACGUGCCGGCCCGAGGCGUAGGGUAGAGAGCAUAGUUUGAUGUCGCAAAGCUCUACUCUGGUAACUCAGUAGGGCAGAACAGAAUUGGGGCUACUCCUUGCACCA
This 341-nucleotide RNase P RNA is filed under the name Candidatus Thorarchaeota archaeon. Its description in RNAcentral is "RNase P RNA component". It matches the Rfam family "Archaeal RNase P". From Rfam's summary of the family: Ribonuclease P (RNase P) is a ubiquitous endoribonuclease, found in archaea, bacteria and eukarya as well as chloroplasts and mitochondria. Its best characterised activity is the generation of mature 5'-ends of tRNAs by cleaving the 5'-leader elements of precursor-tRNAs. The record is from RNAcentral. Lineage: Archaea; Promethearchaeati; Candidatus Thorarchaeota.